UGCGGAGGGAUCAUUACACAACAAAAAUAUGAGGGUGUGGUUUGCUGGCAACAGCGUCCGCCCCAAGUAUUUUUCACCCAUGUCUUUUGCGCACUUUUUGUUUCCUGGGCGAGUUCGCUCGCCACCAGGACCCAACCAUAAACCUUUUUUUAUGCAGUUGCAAUCAGCGUCAGUAUAAUAAUUCAAUUUAUUAAAACUUUCAACAACGGAUCUCUUGGUUCUGGCAUCGAUGAAGAACGCAGCGAAAUGCGAUACGUAGUGUGAAUUGCAGAAUUCAGUGAAUCAUCGAAUCUUUGAACGCACAUUGCGCCCUUUGGUAUUCCAAAGGGCAUGCCUGUUCGAGCGUCAUUUGUACCCUCAAGCUUUGCUUGGUGUUGGGCGUCUUUUUGUCUCUCCCCUUGUUGGGGGAGACUCGCCUUAAAACGAUUGGCAGCCGACCUACUGGUUUUCGGAGCGCAGCACAAAUUUGCGCCUUCCAAUCCACGGGGCGGCAUCCAGCAAGCCUUUGUUUUCUAUAACAAAUCCACAUUUUGACCUCGGAUCAGGUAGGGAUACCCGCUGAACUUAAGCAUAUC
This 575-nucleotide ribosomal RNA is filed under the name Exserohilum rostratum. RNAcentral's name for it is "eukaryotic LSU rRNA". The stretch from base 195 to 348 matches the Rfam family "5.8S ribosomal RNA". The record is from RNAcentral. Lineage: Eukaryota; Fungi; Ascomycota; Dothideomycetes; Pleosporales; Pleosporaceae.